AUGGCCGCCAAAGGCAGCGAUGGUAUUUGCGUGGCCCAGCCGCGGAGUGCUGACCCGCUCAACUGGGGGAAGGCGGCAGAGGAGCUGUCGGGGAGCCAUCUGGACGCCGUCAAGCGGAUGGUGGAGGAGUACCGCAGGCCGGUGGUGGUUAUGGAGGGCGCCAGCUUGACCAUCGCCCAGGUCGCGGCGGUGGCCGCGGCCGACGGUGCCAGGGUGAAGCUCAACGAGUCCGCCCGCGGCAGCGUCAAGGAGAGCAGCGACUGGGUCAUGACCAGCAUGGCGAACGGCACCGACAGCUAUGGCGUCACCACCGGCUUCGGCGCCACCUCCCAUCGGAGGACCAAGGAGGGCGGUGCUCUGCAGAGGGAGCUCAUCCGGUUCCUUAACGCCGGGGCGUUCGGCACCGGCAGCGAUGGUCACGUGCUGCCAGCGGCCACCACGCGCGCGGCGAUGCUUGUCCGCGUCAACACCCUGCUCCAAGGGUACUCCGGCAUCCGCUUCGAGAUUCUCGAGACCAUCGCCACGCUGCUCAACGCCAACGUUACACCGUGCCUGCCUCUCCGGGGCACCAUCACCGCUUCCGGCGAUCUCGUCCCGCUCUCCUACAUCGCGGGACUUGUCACCGGCCGCCCAAAUGCCGUGGCUGUGGCUCCCGAUGGCACCAAGGUUAAUGCCGCUGAAGCAUUUAAGAUUGCGGGCAUCCAGCAUGGCUUCUUUGAGCUGCAACCCAAGGAAGGCCUUGCUAUGGUUAAUGGCACGGCGGUGGGCUCUGGACUCGCGUCCAUUGUUCUCUUUGAAGCGAAUGUCCUUGGUGUGCUUGCUGAAGUUUUGUCAGCCGUGUUCUGCGAAGUGAUGAACGGCAAGCCAGAGUACACUGACCAUCUGACACACAAGCUGAAGCACCACCCUGGACAGAUCGAGGCCGCGGCAAUCAUGGAGCACAUCCUGGAGGGCAGCUCCUACAUGAUGCUCACAAAGAAGCUUGGUGAGCUCGACCCAUUGAUGAAGCCAAAGCAAGACAGAUAUGCUCUCCGCACAUCGCCGCAAUGGCUUGGGCCACAAAUUGAGGUCAUCCGUGCAGCGACGAAGUCGAUCGAGCGCGAGAUCAACUCCGUCAAUGACAACCCACUCAUUGACGUAUCUCGUGGAAAGGCAAUCCACGGUGGCAACUUCCAAGGCACACCCAUCGGUGUGUCGAUGGACAACACGAGGCUUGCCGUUGCUGCGAUCGGCAAGCUCAUGUUUGCCCAGUUCUCGGAGCUAGUGAAUGACUUCUACAACAAUGGUUUGCCCUCCAACCUCUCAGGUGGCCGCAACCCAAGCCUGGACUAUGGCUUCAAGGGUGCCGAGAUUGCCAUGGCUUCAUACUGCUCGGAGCUCCAAUUCUUGGGCAACCCUGUGACCAACCAUGUCCAGAGUGCGGAGCAACACAACCAAGACGUUAACUCCCUCGGAUUAAUCUCGGCUCGGAAGACUGCCGAGGCCAUCGACAUUCUGAAGCUCAUGUCCUCUACAUUUUUGGUUGCGCUGUGCCAAGCCAUCGACCUGCGCCACCUCGAGGAGAAUGUCAAGAACGCCGUCAAGAAUUGUGUCACAAGAGUGGCCAGGAAGACCCUGAUCACAAAUGACAUGGGUGGCCUCCACAACGCACGUUUUUGUGAGAAGGACCUGCUCCAAACAAUUGACCGCGAGGCGGUGUUUGCAUACGCGGACGACCCUUGCAGCGCCAACUACCCUCUCAUGAAGAAGAUGCGCGCGGUGCUGGUGGAGCACGCCCUGGCCAACGGUGAGGCUGAGCGCAAUGUGGAGACCUCGGUGUUUGCCAAGGUUGCCAAAUUUGAGCAGGAGCUCUGCGCGACACUGCCUCAGGAGGUUGAGGCUGCUAGAGGUGCAGUGGAGAAUGGCACUGCUGCAGAACCGAACCGUAUCACUGACUGCCGAUCAUACCCACUGUACCGGUUCAUGCGCGAGGAGCUGGGAACGGUGUACUUGACCGGAGAGAAGACGCGGUCACCUGGGGAGGAGGUGGACAAGGUGUUUAUUGCCAUGAACCAGGGUAAGCACAUCGACGCGCUGUUGGAAUGCCUCAAGGAGUGGAACGGCGAGCCUUUGCCUAUCUGCUAA
This 2124-nucleotide ribosomal RNA is filed under the name Triticum aestivum (bread wheat). Its description in RNAcentral is "partial small subunit ribosomal RNA". The record is from RNAcentral. Lineage: Eukaryota; Viridiplantae; Streptophyta; Magnoliopsida; Poales; Poaceae.